RNAcentral lists this ribosomal RNA (483 nucleotides) under Serratia marcescens. Its description in RNAcentral is "bacterial SSU rRNA". It matches the Rfam family "Bacterial small subunit ribosomal RNA", at positions 956 to 1439 of the family's 1533-position model. The record is from RNAcentral. Lineage: Bacteria; Pseudomonadati; Pseudomonadota; Gammaproteobacteria; Enterobacterales; Yersiniaceae.
GCAACGCGAAGAACCUUACCUACUCUUGACAUCCAGAGAACUUUCUAGAGAUAGAUUAGUGCCUUCGGGAACUGUGAGACAGGUGCUGCAUGGCUGUCGUCAGCUCGUGUUGUGAAAUGUUGGGUUAAGUCCCGCAACGAGCGCAACCCUUAUCCUUUGUUGCCAGCGGUUCGGCCGGGAACUCAAAGGAGACUGCCAGUGAUAAACUGGAGGAAGGUGGGGAUGACGUCAAGUCAUCAUGGCCCUUACGAGUAGGGCUACACACGUGCUACAAUGGCGUAUACAAAGAGAAGCGACCUCGCGAGAGCAAGCGGACCUCAUAAAGUAUGUUGUAGUCCGGAUUGGAGUCUGCAACUCGACUCCAUGAAGUCGGAAUCGCUAGUAAUCGUAGAUCAGAAUGCUACGGUGAAUACGUUCCCGGCCCUUGUACACACCGCCCGUCACACCAUGGGAGUGGGUUGCAAAAGAAGUAGGUAGCUUAAC